RNAcentral lists this transfer RNA (74 nucleotides) under Caudoviricetes sp. RNAcentral describes it as "tRNA-Gly". It matches the Rfam family "tRNA". From Rfam's summary of the family: Transfer RNA (tRNA) molecules are approximately 80 nucleotides in length. Their secondary structure includes four short double-helical elements and three loops (D, anti-codon, and T loops). Further hydrogen bonds mediate the characteristic L-shaped molecular structure. tRNAs have two regions of fundamental functional importance: the anti-codon, which is responsible for specific mRNA codon recognition, and the 3' end, to which the tRNAs corresponding amino acid is attached (by aminoacyl-tRNA synthetases). tRNAs cope with the degeneracy of the genetic code in two manners: having more than one tRNA (with a specific anti-codon) for a particular amino acid; and 'wobble' base-pairing, i.e. permitting non-standard base-pairing at the 3rd anti-codon position. The record is from RNAcentral. Lineage: Duplodnaviria; Heunggongvirae; Uroviricota; Caudoviricetes.
GCGGAUAUAGUUCAUCGGCAGAACGGCGGCUUCCCAAGCCGCGAAGGUGGGUUCGAUUCCCAUUAUCCGCUCCA